UGGGGAAUAUUGGACAAUGGGGGCAACCCUGAUCCAGCCAUGCCGCGUGUGUGAAGAAGGCCUUCGGGUUGUAAAGCACUUUCGGACGGAACGAAAUCGCGCGCAUGAAUAAUGCGCGUGGAUGACGGUACCGUAAGAAGAAGCACCGGCUAACUACGUGCCAGCAGCCGCGGUAAUACGUAGGUGUCAAACGUUGUCCGGAUUUAUUGGGCGUAAAGCGCCCGCAGGCGGCUUUGUAAGUUCUAAGUGAAAUCUCCCGGCUCAACUGGGAGGGGUCUUGGAAAACUGCAAGGCUUGAGGCAGGGAGAGGGAUGUGGAAUUCCAGGUGUAGCGGUGGAAUGCGUAGAUAUCUGGAGGAACGCCAGUGGCGAAGGCGGCAUCCUGGCCCUGUCCUGACGCUGAGGGGCGAAAGCGUGGGGAGCAA
RNAcentral lists this ribosomal RNA (424 nucleotides) under uncultured bacterium. RNAcentral's name for it is "bacterial SSU rRNA". It matches the Rfam family "Bacterial small subunit ribosomal RNA", at positions 355 to 771 of the family's 1533-position model. The record is from RNAcentral.